GUAGGGAAUAUUGGGCAAUGGAUGCAAGUCUGACCCAGCCAUCCCGCGUGCCGGAAGAAGGCCCUCAGGGUUGUAAACGGCUUUUGACGGUGAAGAACCGACAGGAUGCGUCCUGUUUUGACGGUAGCCGUUGAAUAAGCACCGGCUAACUCCGUGCCAGCAGCCGCGGUAAUACGGAGGGUGCGAGCGUUGUCCGGAUUUAUUGGGUUUAAAGGGUGCGUAGGCUGGAAGGUCAGUCAGCGGUGAAAAGCUAUCGCUUAACGAUAGUCGUGCCGCAGAUACUUCCUUUCUUGGAUGAGGAGGAGGCCACUGGAACGGAUGGUGUAGCGGUGAAAUGCAUAGAUAUCAUCCAGAACACCGAUUGCGAAGGCAGGUGGCUGUACCUUAAUCGACGCUGAUGCACGAAAGCAUGGGGAGCAAACAGGAUUAGAAACCCGGGUAGUCC
RNAcentral lists this ribosomal RNA (445 nucleotides) under uncultured bacterium. RNAcentral's name for it is "partial 16S ribosomal RNA". It matches the Rfam family "Bacterial small subunit ribosomal RNA", at positions 354 to 796 of the family's 1533-position model. The record is from RNAcentral.